AACCUGGUUGAUCCUGCCAGUAGUCAUACGCUUGUCUCAAAGAUUAAGCCAUGCAUGUCUAAGUAUAAACAAUUUUGUACUGUGAAACUGCGAAUGGCUCAUUAUAUCAGUUAUAGUCUACACUCCUGGACACAAUUAUACGGCAAUCUCGUCAAGUGCCCGUAACUCAGUCAAUUUUUAGCUAGCGUCAAUAGACCCAUCCGCAUUUUUUUACUAUAGCAGAUCAUAUGAAGACCACCGUGUAGUCGUCGCGAUCUUACAUUUAAAAGUUCUCCAUCAAUAUUGAUCAAGCAGAGGUGCGAGUGCAAUACGUUACAUAUAACAGUAUUGUGUACACCCCCAUGCAACUAAUUUAAGCUCUCGAUCCCUAGUGUCCAUUUAAUCGCCCUCACAAACUCAGCCCAUACAAAUUUCUAGUCAGCCAAAUAGACACAUGUUUUAUUUUAUAUAGGCUUUUUGUAUUGGGCCGAUGGUGGCCGUAUAUUGUGUCCAGCCUGACAAAUUUCUUUUUUGAAUGGAAGCCUCCCUAUAAAGUGCUAGCACAUCCUUGCUAUUUUGAAGCAUGUUUUACAACUUGUGUGAAAAUCGCACCGUCAAAUAAUAAAAAUUGACUGAGUUAGGGGCACUCGACGAGAUGGCCGUAUAGUUGUGUCCAGGAGUGUACUCGAUAGUACCUUACUACUUGAAUACCCGUAGUAAUUCUAAAGCUAAUACAUGCAUCAAUACCCAACUGCUUGUCGGGCGGGUAGCAUUUAUUAGAUUGAAACCAAUGCAGUCUUCGGGCUGGUAUUGUGUUGAGUCAUAAUAACUAUGCGGAUCGCGCUUUUGCGCGAUAAAUCGAUUGAGUUUCUGCCCUAUCAGCUUUGGAUGGUAGGAUAUGGGCCUACCAUGGCAUUAACGGGUAACGGGGAAUUAGGGUUUGAUUCCGGAGAGGGAGCCUUAGAAACGGCUACCACAUCCACGGAAGGCAGCAGGAGCGUAAAUUACCCAAUCUUGACACAGGGAGGUAGUGACAAUAAAUAACAAUGCUCUGGCUCUUCGAGUCGGGCAAUUGGAAUGAGAACAAUUUAAAUCCCUUAACGAGGAUCAAUUGGAGGGCCAGUCUGGUGCCAGCAGCCGCGGUAAUUCCAGCUCCAAUAGCGUAUUUUAAAGUUGUUGCAGUUAAAAAGCUCGUAGCUGGAUUUCUGUUAUGGAUGUCCGGUCCGCUCCCUCUGGGAGUGUGUACUUAUGGGAAUUCGAGGCAUUUUUUGUGAGUCUGCCUUUCCUCGAUUAAGUUGGUGGGUUGGUGGGCUUGUAUCGUUUACUGUGAAAAAAAUAGAGUGUUUAAAGCAGGCGUUUGCUUAUUUGAAUACAUUAGCAUGGAAUAAUAAGAUACGGCCUUGGUGGUCUAUUUUGUUGGGUUGCACACCAGGGUAAUGAUUAAUAGGAACAGUUGGGGGUAUUCAUAUUUCAGCGUCAGAGGUGAAAUUCUUGGAUCGCUGAAAGAUGAGCUUAGGCGAAAGCAUUUCCCAAGGAUGUUUUCAUUAAUCAAGAACGAAAGUUAGGGGAUCGAAGAUGAUUAGAUACCAUCGUUGUCUUAACCAUAAACUAUGCCGACUCGGGAUUGGCAGUCGUUUACUUUAAAUGACCUUGUCAGCACCGUAUGAGAAAUCAAAGGCUUUGGGUUCCGGGGGGAGUAUGGUCGCAAGGCUGAAACUUAAAGGAAUUGACGGAAGGGCACCACCAGGAGUGGGACCUGCGGCUUAAUUUGGCUCAACACGGGAAAACUUACCAGGUCCAGACAUAGUAAGGAUUGACAGAUUGAGAGCUCUUUCUUGAUUCUAUGGGUGGUGGUGCAUGGCCGUUCUUAGUUGGUGGAGUGAUUUGUCUGGUUAAUUCCGUUAACGAACGAGACCUCCGCGUGCUAAAUAGUUCCGUUUACCAUUUUUGGUAGGUUUGUGGACUUCUUAGAGGGACUUUUGGGUAAUCAAACCGAAGGAAGCUGGAGGCAAUAACAGGUCUGUGAUGCCCUUAGAUGCUCUGGGCCGCACGCGCGCUACACUGAUGCGUUCAACGAGUAUAUAACCUUGAUCGAUAGGUCUGGGUAAUCUUGUGAAUGCGCAUCGUGCUAGGGAUAUACUGUUGCAAUUUUCAGUCUUGAACGAGGAAUUCCUAGUAAACGCAAGUCAUCAGCUUGCAUUGAUUACGUCCCUGUCCUUUGUACUCACCGCCCGUCGCACCUACCGAUUGAAUGACUCGGUAUAAAAUUGGGACCGUGAGUCUGUUUGCUUCAUUGCGAGUGGAUUGAUGGGAACUUUUUUAAACCUCGCCAUUUAGAGGAAGGUGAAGUCGUAACAAGGUUUCCGUAGGUGAGCCUGCGGAAGGAUCAUUA
Ribosomal RNA from Phytophthora infestans T30-4, 2371 nucleotides. It matches the Rfam family "Eukaryotic small subunit ribosomal RNA". The record is from Rfam. Lineage: Eukaryota; Oomycota; Peronosporomycetes; Peronosporales; Peronosporaceae.